Alexandromys fortis (reed vole) is the source of this 2100-nucleotide long non-coding RNA. RefSeq lists it as uncharacterized. The transcript is spliced from 5 exons. The record is from RefSeq and is a predicted model, not a curated record. Lineage: Eukaryota; Metazoa; Chordata; Mammalia; Rodentia; Cricetidae.
UUGUACACACUAAAGGUGUUUUAUCACUGAGCCACCCCGUGUGUGGCUCAGUGAUAAAAUUACACUGUGAUCAAUUACACUGUAUCAAUUACUCAGUGAUCAAUUACACUGUAUUUCCCGUGUGUCAGCUGGCUCAAAGUCGAGAGUCUGAGAAGGACACCAUGUCCACCAGAACCAAGAGUGUGGCUGUGUGGUCCGACCACAGAGGACUGAAAACUGCAGCAGCAGAUCCAAAAUAGACAGAAGGAUUGCAAAACAGUAACUCAAACACGAGCCCGUGAAAGGAGAUGCGGCCAUCACAUUCGAGCCCAGGAACAGAUGGAGUUUCGGCCUUUGCAAAGAUGACACAGUACCCUGCCUUUCGUAGGAACACCAGGGCUAUCAUGUCCCAUGUCCCUGCUGCCCCUCAUCCUGGUUCACGGCACAGCUUCCGCUCCAUUUUUAUCCAGCCGCAGAUAAUGGAAGAGAGAUGAGACUUCUGGCCUGGGGGGCUGGACAGUGUCCACUAGUGAUGGCGUGGCAGGGUUUGGGCACGUGUGUACACAAGGCAUCAUUAAAUUCUUGACAGUUCAAAAGUACCAGUAGAGAUUUCAUCCUUCAGUUGACCAGAGUGAUAUUUCUUCAGUUUGGGUCUGUCUGUUUUUAUUAAAUGCCGAAGGCAUUUUAUCUUUGGCCAAACUCUGAGCCCCAGAUCACUGCACCCUGCAACAAGGGGAGUUGCUCAGCCCAUGGAUGAGAAGAGCUGAAACACAGAAGGAAAAGGAGACGCCAUCUGGACCCCUGAGCCCGGUGGUCUCUGGCGCAACUUCCAGCUUUCCCCACUAUGGCUUGUAUGUGGACUCGCUCUACCUGCGGAUUUAUGGUGUCUCCAGAACAGGGCAAACUCGUGCUCUGGGAUUCCCACAAGCAGAAGCCCUACCAAGCUUCGCUGAAUUAGACGAACCCGCGCUAGCCAACAGUGAUGGUCCGUGCCAAUGAAAUGGCCACUUCAGCCAGAGAUUUCCAGAUGACUGCAGACAGCACCACCAUGAGAACAGACUGGUGACUCAGCCAAGCCUGGAUCCCGUCCUAGCUGCUGCCAAGCCAUCUUAAACCAUUGGACGCCAGCUUCCUCCUCUAAAAUGCUCUGGUGACAACAGGACCCUUGCGUCACAGUGGUCAGAAGGGUGAACAAGUCAACACUGGAAAAUACACAUGACAGUCCAGGCAAUGGAAAUGCCUCCAAACGACCAAGUGUUUAAAAACCCAAAGGGCCUAGAUCCACUGAAAGGUGGUUUUAUUAUUUCCUUUUUUCUUCCAUUGAUCUCUUACAAAUCAAAAUCCAAUUUCAUAAGUGUUUUCUCGUUUCAGCGGAGGACUCCAUUGUCUACUUCCCAGGACAAGAGGGCAGUCUGUGCUCCGUUAGGAGGUGGACAGCUAAGGAUGAGUGAGCCCUGCAAUCAAAGGCCUGGAAAACCCAUGAUUUACCACGGAAACCGUGACAGACCUUCUUGUUGACACCCAGCCCACCCAACCUCCCCCUCUCUCCGUUAGGCCCCCCGAGCCCCUCAGAGUGGAAGCACAGAGGCCAGGUGCUGCUGGAAGCCCACUCUAUGGUUUGACUUCACCUUCCUCCCACUUGUCUGAGUGGGCUGUGCCACAAUUACUCAAGGGCCGUGGAGGGCAGGGGAACUACAGGCCUUGGCACCUUCUGACUGUCCCCUGAGUCCCCGGUGAACAUUAUACCCGAGGCUAAGAUAUUCCAGGCAAUGAAGCUCACUUCUCAUCUGAGCACGGGAAUUGUUUCUGAGAGCAAAAGACCCUGAAGCAGGCCCAUUGUCCCCAGCAGCCACUUCCUUUAAGAAGCUGCUCUCUGUCCUGUCUUAAAGAGGUUCACCGUGCUCUAGUAGCUGUGGACCCAAGGAAGCCUUUUUUUAAAAACCAAAGAAAGGUUUGAAAUUUUUAAUAAACUUUAUUUUUAAAACUUACCAAUAAAUUUAAAAAAAUUACACACCAAAGGUAGCCAGACCCAGUCUACAUAAACCAGUGAACUUCUAUAAAAUUAGAAUAGGCAUUUAGAAUGGAAUCUACAUUGCUUCAUUUUAAAUUUUACACUUUCAG